This 384-nucleotide transfer-messenger RNA is filed under the name Solirubrobacter pauli. RNAcentral describes it as "Standard tmRNA". It matches the Rfam family "transfer-messenger RNA". From Rfam's summary of the family: Bacterial tmRNA, also known as 10Sa RNA or SsrA, is named for its dual tRNA and mRNA-like properties. Its role is to liberate the mRNA from a stalled ribosome. The record is from Rfam by way of RNAcentral. Lineage: Bacteria; Bacillati; Actinomycetota; Thermoleophilia; Solirubrobacterales; Solirubrobacteraceae.
GGGGACGACAGGCUUCGACGUGGUCGGUUCGUGGGGUCGGUUGCGAGCCGGGGUGCUGGAGGCCCCGUUAAAAACCAGCACAAACACAAAUGCGGACUCUAAUCCCGCUCUCGUGGCCGAUGAGGCCCACGAGUACGCUCUCGUCUAGCUGAAACUAGAUUGAGCCUUGGCGCCCGAGGCCUACGACGGGAUCACGCCGAGUAAUAAGUAGGCUUGCCCUUCAGACGCUUGCCUGAGCCGAUGAAGGGGACUUUUGAUCAGGCUGGCCCUGACCAACCUUGCCGGUGUAGUUAGGGAUGGGCGAGAUCUAGAUCACCGGAUACGCUCGUAGACGUCGGCUUGACGCGACUGCGGACGCGGGUUCAAUUCCCGCCGUCUCCACUU